This 75-nucleotide transfer RNA is filed under the name Candidatus Nomurabacteria bacterium RIFCSPHIGHO2_01_FULL_40_20. Its description in RNAcentral is "tRNA-Arg". It matches the Rfam family "tRNA". From Rfam's summary of the family: Transfer RNA (tRNA) molecules are approximately 80 nucleotides in length. Their secondary structure includes four short double-helical elements and three loops (D, anti-codon, and T loops). The record is from RNAcentral. Lineage: Bacteria; Candidatus Nomuraibacteriota. RNAcentral also lists the same sequence under 3 other names.
GCACCCGUAGUGAAAUGGAUAUCACAACAGUCUUCGGAACUGUCGUUGGGGGUUCGAAUCCCUCCGGGUGCACAA